UCAACCGAACGUUAAACGGAACCCUGUGGGAAUCCUCAUCCUUCACCCUUCAUGCACACUAUCACAUUCUGAGCUCAAAAGCCAUGCCUUUUCUGGACUAGAAAUCAGAAAGUGUGGUAUGAAGACAUGGUUCUGGCACUUAAAUUUGUGAUCAUGGAAAACAACAGGAGAAAUUGAUGAAGACCCAGAGGGACCAGAAGGGGAACAGGAAAGAAAAGGAUGGGGGAAGAGAAGACAAAUUUAGAAGUGGUCAUAGGGCAGCCAGGUACACAGGACGUCCUGCACAAAGUACUCUGACUUCUGGUCCCAGGAUGUGAUGGACAAGAGAGCAUCAGGAGCGACAUCUGUAAAUUGUAAACCAAUUGAGAAAUAAAAGUCGGGAGAAA
Camelus dromedarius (Arabian camel) is the source of this 386-nucleotide long non-coding RNA. RefSeq lists it as uncharacterized. The record is from RefSeq and is a predicted model, not a curated record. The transcript is spliced from 3 exons. NCBI's taxonomy places the organism in Eukaryota, Metazoa, Chordata, Mammalia, Artiodactyla, Camelidae.